Molecule: long non-coding RNA, 762 nt
Filed under: Serinus canaria (Common canary)
Lineage: Eukaryota; Metazoa; Chordata; Aves; Passeriformes; Fringillidae
Description: lncRNA (ENSSCAG00000008432.1)
Source: RNAcentral
CUCAUCUAAGCAAUGGAUUAGUUAUCUUGGGUCUACACAAAGGUUUACUAUUUUCUGCCAAGGAAAUAUGAGCUGUCAAGAAAGAGAAUCUGCUGCACAAAAAAGCAAUGAUGACAAGCUGCUUCUUGGAAAAUGUGGAAAGUCUUUAAGAACAUGGGAGAAAAGGCCAAUCAGGCAUGCCAAGAUAGUUCAUGGCUUGAAACUGUAAUACAGUGCUGCGGCUGCCUCGAAAAAACACCAGAGAAAAUGUGUGUGUUUAGGGAAGAAUGGGGGCUCAGAGUUCUCCUGUGGGAAUGUGAAAGAUAUUGCACGACUGCAACUUCUCCCUUGACUGCUGAUCCAGCAAUCUGAUCUUGAGUAACCCUGCUUUCAACCACCCUGUCUCUAAUUAUUCAUCCCCUCACCGAGAUUUUAAAGUCUUGAUUUAGACAGGUGAUCAUGUAAUCAACAGCCAAAGAACCACAACUGUGGCAACCCGGGCAGAGUUUGGGUUAGUUUUCAUUAAACAAACCCUUGCAUGCCUUGUGGCAGGGAAAUGGGGCUUUCUUCUUUAUUGGACUUCCUCCAGUACUUCUAAAGGGCUCAAGACAAAAACUUGCAGCAUGGAGUGCGUGGGAAAUUCGUGUUGAAGUCAGAGUGUGAUUUGCAUAAGAUUGUUAUAUGACCCAAUACGUGUGCAAUCUACUUGUGUUCUGCUUUAAUUAGGUAUGGACAGCCUGUUUCCAAAAUAAAUAGCAGCUCCAGUGACUGAGGUCUUUAUCC